AGUGAACGCUGGCGGUAGGCCUAACACAUGCAAGUCGAACGGCCGCACAGUAAGAGUUUGCUCUUACGGGUGGCGAGUGGCGGACGGGUGAGGAAUACAUCGGAAUCUACUUUUUCGUGGGGGAUAACGUAGGGCAGCUUACGCUAAUACCGCAUACGACCUACGGGUGAAAGCAGGAGAUCUUCGCACCUUGCGCGAUUGAAUGAGCCGAUGUCGGAUUAGCUAGUUGGCGGGGUAAAGGCACACCAAGGCGACGAUCCGUAGCUGGUCUGAGAGGAUGAUCAGCCACACUGGAACUGAGACACGGUCCAGACUCCUACGGGAGGCAGCAGUGGGGAAUAUUGGACAAUGGGCGCAAGCCUGAUCCAGCCAUACCGCGUGAGUGAAGAAGGCCUUCGGGUCGUAAAGCCCUUUUGUUGGGAAAGAAAAGCAGCAUAUUAAUACCCCGCUGUUCUGACGGUACCCAAAGAAUAAGCACCGGCUAACUUCGUG
Molecule: ribosomal RNA, 492 nt
Filed under: uncultured bacterium
Lineage: Bacteria
Description: partial 16S ribosomal RNA
Rfam family: Bacterial small subunit ribosomal RNA
Source: RNAcentral